RNAcentral lists this ribosomal RNA (253 nucleotides) under uncultured bacterium. RNAcentral's name for it is "partial 16S ribosomal RNA". It matches the Rfam family "Bacterial small subunit ribosomal RNA", at positions 524 to 776 of the family's 1533-position model. The record is from RNAcentral.
UACAGAGGCCUCGAGCGUUAAUCGGAAUCACUGGGCUUAAAGGGUGCGUAGGCGGCGCUGCAAGUGCCUUGUGAAAUCCCAUCGCUUAACGAUGGAACUGCUCGGUAGACUGCAGUGCUUGAGGUUGGUAGGGGCUGCCGGAACUCUAGGUGGAGCGGUGAAAUGCGUAGAUAUCUAGAGGAACGCCCAAGGCGAAGGCAGGCAGCUGGGCCAAUUCUGACGCUGAGGCACGAAAGUGUGGGGAUCAAACAGG